GUCCCUAAUCCUAUCACACAGAGGUAAUCACUAUGAAUAUUUUUCCUUUCAAUAUGAUAUAUACACAUAGUUGAAAAGUUAUUUUUAUGGGGCUAAAUUUCAAAGCACUGAAGUUAAAAACGUCAGCUGACCUGAAUUUACGUGUUUGUAAUCGUGAAGAAACUCAAGAAAAGAUGCCAAAAUAAACUGUUUUCUUUGCUGGAAUCUGGAACAUUAAGGUUCAUGAUUUAUCAUUAAAAGAGAGAGAGAAGAGGGAAGGGAACGGUUACACCAAUUUUUAAACACCUAACAAAUGAAAACAUGUUGUUGCAAAAACAGUCACCAUAAAAAUGCACCAAAAUCCCCUACAUUUAUUCAACAUACAGUGAGUGUGAGGACCACCAGAAUGUGCUCUAGGAGAAAUGGUUGAAAGGCCAGUGAUAUUAGAAGAAUUUGGGGGGCAGAAAUGACAGUCCAAAGGCAAUUAGGCUCAGCCAGGAGCUUUCUCCAUCACUGGAAGACUUUGAGUAAAAAACUGGAAGCCUUUUCCUCUGAAAUACUGAAGAGGAGAUGCAAAUUUUGGGUCUGCUGCUGCAAAAUGGUCCAAGUUCAUCUCAGUUCUUUCUAAUUUGGGCCGUGAAGACACAACUGAUAUUGUAUGAAAGAAAUCUUAGGAAAAUAUAUUUCUUUGCCGCAUCACUAAUUCUCAAUCGAAAGUUGCAUCUUCUGACUGCUUUGAUCAGAGGAAUGGAACUUUGAAUGGUAAGAGAAAACACAUGGUGAGUAGGCUGUAGUCACAGCAUUUUGACUUAAUUGGCCAUUGACGUUAUAGAAUCUUGUUGACUCUUUUCCUUUGUCCAUUUCUCAGCCAACUCAGCUGUUUUGAAAACAAAACUCCAAUGUGGCUUUGAAAUAAAACUGCAUCAUAAACAAUUGGUAGGUGUUUUUCAAAGUGGUUUCACAGAAGUGCCACAGAGUAAGUAGGCGACCACCGAAGCUGCUAAAAUAUUUCCUGUCCUGACCAGGGUUGCGUUUCUGGAGAAU
Molecule: long non-coding RNA, 1023 nt
Filed under: Microcebus murinus (gray mouse lemur)
Lineage: Eukaryota; Metazoa; Chordata; Mammalia; Primates; Cheirogaleidae
Description: lncRNA (ENSMICG00000048338.1)
Source: RNAcentral